CUCGCCACCACCCACGGCCCUGCACAGUCGCCAGCUGCUCUGGAGAGCCCACGGCUGGGCGGGCCCGGCCCGGCCCCUACCACCUCACUCCCCCUCGAACUUGGGGCCAGGGGCAGGUGGAAAGAGGAGGAAGGAUCCUGCCCAACCUUAUAGGCCUGCAGCCUCCCUCCCAACAGGCCUUCUGGAGUCAGCAGGGGGGCAGAGGGGACUCUGGGCAGAGGGAGACAAACGAGAUUAAGGAUGCUUCCUGGCUUUGUAUCCUUUGCCAGUUCUCCUCCACCCAACCUCCUGGGAGGAACAAAUGGGACAUACACCCUGCCGCUUCUCCGCCCUUUACAUCUCCAGGGCCAGUAGUAGGGAGCGAGGGGGAGGAAGGGUCCGGCCCAGCGGCACUCCCUCAGCGUCUGCUCCCACGCCUGCUGGGAGUCAAGCAAGAAGGUCUGCCCCGGCCCCGGGCCUCCCUGCCUCUCUCCUGGCCAGAGAAGGGGAGCCGUGGGAAGAAGGACCCAACUCAGCCCCAGCCCCCAUCCAGCCGGAGGCCCUGCCCCUCACCCCCAGGAAGCUUCCAGGGCCUGUGAAGGAAGCUGGCAGGAAGAAGGUUUUCAAGAAGCCCGAGUUCUCAAUCAGACCCCCGGAGAGAGGCUGAGGACCACCCAAGCAGGACAGCCUAGUUGGGGCAGCCAUGGGAAAAGCCGCAGCUAUGCUGGGCAGUAGCGCCGGAGCUGGGCAUGGGGUAUGGCACCAAGAAGAGUGAGCCUGCUGGACCAAGGGCAGUCUGGCCAGGGACAGCUCCCACCAUGGAGGACCUUGUCCUCUGCCCCAUCCUCUACAACAUUCAGCGAUGAUGGCUGCAGGUGGAGGCUGGGACCACGCCAGGAGGCAGGGAAAGAGAUCUGGCUAGUGAUGGCCCCUUCAGCACUGAAUCACCAUGGGGACUUCAGGGCCUCCAAGUCAAAAGCAUGGAUCGACUCCAAUCUAACAGUCAGUUCUGAGACCCAGGGCUCAGAAGUGGCUGAUGGUGGGCACCUAUGUGGAAUCUCUUUGCACACCAGCAGCUGGGUCUCCAGCAGUUGACCGCUCAACAAGUAGACCCUGGGGAGAUGCUGGGCACCCAAAGACACAUCUGGCUCUGCCCUGAUCUCCAGGAGCUCACAGCUUGGUGUGGGGAGAUGUAUAACAACAGUCAACAUCCACUGAGCAUUUACUCUGUGCCAGGCACUGGGCUAAGAACUCAUGCACAUUCAUAGACUCCUCCCAACAACUCCUGGAGGUGAGAAACCUGAGGCACAGAAAGAUCAAGUAAUUUGUCCACUGUGACAAUAAGGCAGAACGAGGAUGUGAACUCAGCGAGCCUGGAUCCAAAGCCCAUCUGCUCUAACCACAAAGCCGUCAACAGAGAAGCCAAGGCAGUUGUAACGCGGUGUGAGCUAUGCUGGGACAGGGUACGUGUCGGGGCUGCAGGAGCACAGAGGAAGCAUGUCAAGACGUCUUGGGUGAUUGGCGAAGGCUUCCAGGAGGAGGUGGGGCCUGAGAGAGCCUUGAGGGGUGCAUAGGAGUUAGCAAGGGGAAACAGGCAAUAGGAAGGAAUUCCAAAAGGAUAGGGCAUUGUGAGCAAAGCACAGAGGGAAGAAAGGGCAGAAUUCAAGUGAUGUGGUGAUGUUUGAGGGUAAGGAGUGAGGUGGAGAUCCGUAAGAGGGCAAGCUGGGGAGACCCAAGGAGCUGGAUGUUAUGCUGGGGACAUGGGGAGCCAGGCAAAGAGAGCAGCAGAGAAGACCCGACUUUGAGAAGCUCCCUCUGGCUACAGCAUGAAGGGGGAUUGUAGAGGGAGAGAUACAGGAGAUUGGUGAUAGGCCAGGAAAGGGCUGGCCAGGGGGUGGGCUCAGGCUGUGUGCUACUGGGAUUGGAGAGGAGGAAGCAAACUCAGGAAGUGAUUUGGAGGUAAAAGUGGGUGGAAGCGGUGAUGGAUUGGAAGUGGAGGUAGGAGAAGGGAGAGGGAGAGUCCAGGAGGUGGGACCCAGCAGGCUCGGGGCUGACAAAUGAGGGCUGCCUCUCUCUGGGCCAGGCCUCUAGGGUGUUGGCACAGCUGCGCACUCAACCCCAGCUUGGGCUGUAGGGGGCCCAGCCACCAGGAGCCAACAAGGCAAGAAGCACCCAAAGCUGAAAGGGCCCCUGGCCAACUGUAUCUCCUCCCUCUGGCAUGUCAAAUCCCACCACCCCAGCUUCAUCCUCCUGGGGAAAGCAUCGCCUCUUCUCGGAUGGGAGAUCAUAUGAUGCCUUGAACUCCUCUUACAGAGCUGAACACUCAAGUUACAUAUGAUCUUUUUCAGGGGCAGCUUUCUGGGGUUCCCCCACUGGGCAGAAUAAAUUGUUCCCUCCUCUGUGGUCCCAGAGUGCCUUGUGUGUUUGCACAAUCCUGAUGACCCUGGAGUGGUUUUUCUUUAGUCUGCCCGCUGCAUUAGUCUGGGAGCUCCUGAAGGGGCAUUGUGACAAGGGAUCCUUUGGUUUGUGUUUUUGCAAAUGAGGAUGAUUUCGCGUGAAUGCAUUUUCUCAAGUUAUCUUCCUUUCUAGAUUGUGAGCCCUCUGAAGGCGGUCUCUUGUCUUAUUUUAUUAUCCGACAGUAACGUUGACUUUUUUUGAUGUUCAGCUCUACAAAUUUCAACGCAUAUAUAGAUCACGUAAGCCCUGUCUGAAGGCACUGUUAAUUCACAUAAAUGGUAUUAUGCUAUGGAUCCUC
Equus caballus (horse) is the source of this 2734-nucleotide long non-coding RNA. The record is from Ensembl. Lineage: Eukaryota; Metazoa; Chordata; Mammalia; Perissodactyla; Equidae.